GUAACGGUGUCUUUAGACACCACCUUUAUCUUUGAAAUUUUGUUGU
Molecule: non-coding RNA, 46 nt
Organism: Picea glauca (white spruce)
Lineage: Eukaryota; Viridiplantae; Streptophyta; Pinopsida; Pinales; Pinaceae
Source: Rfam